RNAcentral lists this non-coding RNA (108 nucleotides) under Achromobacter piechaudii. RNAcentral describes it as "TPP sequence". It matches the Rfam family "TPP riboswitch aptamer (THI element)". From Rfam's summary of the family: Vitamin B(1) in its active form thiamin pyrophosphate (TPP) is an essential coenzyme that is synthesised by coupling of pyrimidine and thiazole moieties in bacteria. The previously detected thiamin-regulatory element, thi box was extended, resulting in a new, highly conserved RNA secondary structure, the THI element, which is widely distributed in eubacteria and also occurs in some archaea. Lineage: Bacteria; Pseudomonadati; Pseudomonadota; Betaproteobacteria; Burkholderiales; Alcaligenaceae. The record is from RNAcentral.
GGCAAUUCCUGGGGGAGCCCUGUUUCGGGCUGAGACUCCGCGUCAUCGCGGUAACCCUUUGAACCUGAUCCGGGUAAUGCCGGCGAAGGGAAGGACAUCGCACGACUC